Molecule: non-coding RNA, 174 nt
Organism: Ceratotherium simum simum (southern white rhinoceros)
Lineage: Eukaryota; Metazoa; Chordata; Mammalia; Perissodactyla; Rhinocerotidae
Source: RefSeq, a predicted model, not a curated record
CAUGCAUUUGUGCAAACCCAUAGAUGUACAACGCUGACAGCGAACCCUAAUGUAAACUAUGGACUUUGAGUGAUUAUGAUGUGUCAAUGUCGGUUCAUCAGUUGUAACAAAUGUACCACUCUGGUGGGAGAUGCUGAUCAUGGGGGAGGCUCUGCAUGAUGAGGACAGGAGGCA